This 253-nucleotide ribosomal RNA is filed under the name uncultured bacterium. Its description in RNAcentral is "partial 16S ribosomal RNA". It matches the Rfam family "Bacterial small subunit ribosomal RNA", at positions 524 to 776 of the family's 1533-position model. The record is from RNAcentral.
UACGAAGGGGGCUAGCGUUGUUCGGAAUCACUGGGCGUAAAGCGCACGUAGGCGGUCUCUUAAGUCGGUGGUGAAAUCCUGGAGCUCAACUCCAGAACUGCCUUCGAUACUGAGAGUCUUGAGUCCGAGAGAGGUGAGUGGAACUGCGAGUGUAGAGGUGAAAUUCGUAGAUAUUCGCAAGAACACCAGUGGCGAAGGCGGCUCACUGGCUCGGUACUGACGCUGAGGUGCGAAAGCGUGGGGAGCAAACAGG